Molecule: ribosomal RNA, 355 nt
Filed under: uncultured bacterium
Lineage: Bacteria
Description: partial 16S ribosomal RNA
Rfam family: Bacterial small subunit ribosomal RNA
Source: RNAcentral
AUACGUAGGUGACAAGCGUUAUCCGGAUUUACUGGGCGUAAAGGGCGUGUAGGCGGUCUUGCAAGUCAGAAGUGAAAUUCCUGAGCUCAACUCGGGCGCUGCUUCUGAAACUGCAGGACUUGAGUGCUGGAGGGGAUAGCGGAAUUCCUAGUGGAGCGGUAAAAUGCGCAGAUAUUAGGAAGAACACCGGUGGCGAAGGCGGCUAUCUGGACAGUAACUGACGCUGAGCAGCGAAAGCAUGGGGAGCAAACAGGAUGAGAGUCCCGGGUAGCCCACGCCGUAAACGAUGAAUACUAGGUGUAGGGGGUAUCGACUCCCUCUGUGCAUUUUACCGUUCCACUAGGAAUUCCGCUAU